UACGUAGGGCGCAAGCGUUGUCCGGAAUUAUUGGGCGUAAAGAGCUCGUAGGCGGCUUGUCACGUCGAUUGUGAAAGCCCGAGGCUUAACCUCGGGUCUGCAGUCGAUACGGGCUAGCUAGAGUGUGGUAGGGGAGAUCGGAAUUCCUGGUGUAGCGGUGAAAUGCGCAGAUAUCAGGAGGAACACCUGCGGCGAAGGCGGGUUGCUGGGCUGACACUGACGCUGAUGCGCGAAAGCCAGGGGAGCGAACGGG
RNAcentral lists this ribosomal RNA (253 nucleotides) under uncultured bacterium. RNAcentral describes it as "partial 16S ribosomal RNA". It matches the Rfam family "Bacterial small subunit ribosomal RNA", at positions 524 to 776 of the family's 1533-position model. The record is from RNAcentral.